UACGUAGGGGGCAAGCGUUGUCCGGAAUCAUUGGGCGUAAAGAGCGUGUAGGCGGCCCGGUAAGUCCGCUGUAAAAGUCCAGGGCUCAACCCUGGAAAGCCGGUGGAUACUGUCGGGCUAGAGUCCGGAAGAGGCGAGUGGAAUUCCUGGUGUAGCGGUGAAAUGCGCAGAUAUCAGGAAGAACACCCGUGGCGAAGGCGGCUCUCUGGGACGGUACUGACGCUGAGACGCGAAGGCGUGGGGAGCGAACAGG
RNAcentral lists this ribosomal RNA (253 nucleotides) under uncultured bacterium. Its description in RNAcentral is "partial 16S ribosomal RNA". It matches the Rfam family "Bacterial small subunit ribosomal RNA", at positions 524 to 776 of the family's 1533-position model. The record is from RNAcentral.